Molecule: non-coding RNA, 97 nt
Organism: Pangasianodon gigas (Mekong giant catfish)
Lineage: Eukaryota; Metazoa; Chordata; Actinopteri; Siluriformes; Pangasiidae
Source: the annotation of a GenBank genome assembly
GCAGUCGUGGCCUAAUGGAUAGAGAGUCGGACUUGUAACCCGAAGGUGAACCCGAAGGUGAACCUGAAGGUCGUGGGUUCGAGUCUCACGUCCGGCA